UACAGAGGGGGCAAGCGUUAUUCGGAAUUAUUGGGCGUAAAGGGCGCGUAGGCGGCUUGGCAAGUGGAUGGUGAAAUCCCUCGGCUUAACCGAGGAACUGCCGUCCAAACUGCUUAGCUUGAGACCGGGAGAGGUGAGUGGAAUUCCCAGUGUAGCGGUGAAAUGCGUAGAUAUUGGGAAGAACACCUGAGGCGAAGGCGGGUUGCUGGGCCGACACUGACGCUGAGGCGCGAAAGCCAGGGGAGCAAACGGG
Molecule: ribosomal RNA, 253 nt
Filed under: uncultured bacterium
Lineage: Bacteria
Description: partial 16S ribosomal RNA
Rfam family: Bacterial small subunit ribosomal RNA
Source: RNAcentral